This 1459-nucleotide long non-coding RNA is filed under the name Phaseolus vulgaris (common bean). RNAcentral describes it as "long non-coding RNA (PVUL_LNC001827)". The record is from RNAcentral. Lineage: Eukaryota; Viridiplantae; Streptophyta; Magnoliopsida; Fabales; Fabaceae.
CCAACGUUUGCCCCCAAAACCCGUGUGCCCUAAUUCUAUCUUCAGAAGUGGAGUGUGUGAAGCUCAAUCUUGAAGCAAAGGUGAAGCUCCGUCCGACCUUCUGAAAAAUACAAAGGUGAGUUUGUUCUUUAUCCUAAUAUCUGUUUGCAUGAUGUAUUUUGUGCCAACGAAUGGUAUGAAAAAGGAAGGCAAUGGUGGACACAUGAAUGACACUGUUUGGAAACCAUGAGUGCUGGCCUCCUUAUCUCUUUCCUUUUCGCAACCUUACUCACUCUCUCAUCCCCUUUUCUAUGUCACUGCCUCUCCUUAUAUUGAUGAAGAGUGAGAAGAAAAAAAAGAGUAGGUGAAGGUAGGUGGUGGGAAGUUGGGAGAGAAAUGAGGGAGUAGUGGAGAUUUUGGAAAGAGUGGGAGCAGGUGUAAGAGAGGCAGCAGGUGCAGAGUAAGUGGCGUGGAGAGUGUGGGUCAAAUGUUAGUAAUAUUUGACUGUCCCCAAACCCACAUUAUGGGAGCUUCAUGUACCAAACCACCCACACUUUGGAACUUUUGCUCCGUAAGACCAUAAAGGACCAUCUAAGUGGAGAAAAACUUGAUCUCCUUUUAGUGGGAUUCUUUACUUACAAUUGAUUAAUUCUACAUUGAACUCAUCAUCAACACUUAGAUUUUUACUUUUUCAAUUACUUGUUCCUAUAAUAUUAUUAAUUCUAAUCUAUGACAUUGCUUUCACAGAAUAGAGUUUCAUCUAAUUUCUUUGAAGGUUGUGUUUGUCCUAUCCCAUGUUUAUGCCUAUAAUAUUGCAUGUAUUGUUACUUACUUUUUACACAUAUAGACUUUGAGGAGCCAUGUUAAAUUUUCCAUUCUGUUAAAAUACCCGUGUUUUUUUGUUGCUCAUUUGCUUUUAUCAAACAAAACCAAUCCUUGGUCAUUCAUUAUAUGGAGGACAUAUAAGUUUUUGUUUUUUGUCUUUGGUCUUGAUAGAUGCUUUGUUUGAUUGUUAAUUUAUGCUAAGGAAAAUGAGAAAACAAUGGACAUUGAAUAGUAAUUGGAGGAGUUGGUGUUAAUGCAUGAUGCAGCUUUUGCAGAGAAUCUAAGGUCCAUCUGUGUGGGUGGAUAAGUGGGAAUUAGCACGCAGAGAACCUAACUAGUGUUCAUGGACAUCACUUUUAAACAAAGCACCCACAUGCCUCUUCUGUGAGACUACCACGUUUCCAUAUUGCAAGUCAUGUCCUUAUUUGGAAAGCUAAUCCAAAUACGUGUAAUCUCCUCGAAUAUGAAAGGGCAUAGACCAUAUUCUCUUUAAGCUAAAUACCUUUUUCCUUCCACAAGGGCCUAGGGCAGUUUCUUUGAAGCACCUUUUAGAGAUAACUCUAUUUAAUAUAUACAACAUCAUUGGUAGAAGAAGUACUUAUAAUUAGUGAAUCUAUAACUGCAAAAAGAUAAUAAUGUGGAUUAAACCCCUUGG